ACCUGGCAUACAAUGUAGGUUUC
RNAcentral lists this microRNA (23 nucleotides) under Pteropus alecto (black flying fox). RNAcentral's name for it is "pal-miR-221-5p". Its record names the gene pal-miR-221-5p. Lineage: Eukaryota; Metazoa; Chordata; Mammalia; Chiroptera; Pteropodidae. The record is from miRBase by way of RNAcentral.